GCCCACUCUGCCCACAGUUGUGUCCCAGAAAGCCCCUGCCCGAGUCUGCACUCAGCCCGGGCUCAGGCUGCCAUACCGGGCUGCUCUUGCUUUACUCAGCACAGAGCUGUUUUCCCAAGACUUCAGCUGGCCUCCAGAAGGAUCAAGUCGGGAACAGGCCCCCGUGUCCACCUGGGACCAGAAUCACUGGCCAGCCUUGGUGUGUGUCUGCCCCAGGUGAUUUUCUGUCUGGGCUUCCUUUUUCCUGUCACAGGCCCUCGGGGUCAUCCCAACAAGAUUCACUUGCUCUGAAUCUUAGGAACUGGGCUUUUAGAAAAGAUUUUGCCACCCAACGUGGGGCUUGACCUCAAAACCCCGAGAUUAAGAGUCGCAUGCUCCACCAACCUAGCCAGUCAGGCGCCCCAGAAAUUAAGCUUUUUAAAAAAAUCCUAUUCUUUUAAGGCCUCCACAUCCUUAACCGAUUCACCGGCACCCCCUUAGCAAAGAGGAAAGUGCUCUGCUUCUGAGCACAUUCUCCUCACUGGGCGGGAGGGGGUGGGGGAAGGGACAAGAAAAGGACUUCCCAGCACCUUCUCACAAGACACCCGAUGACUGUGAGUCUGACUCCUUCCUGCCUUUUGUCUGUUUAGCGUAAUUCUAGAAACCUCACAGUUCUGUCACACAGAAGCCAGGCCUGUGGACACAGCAGCGUGGGAGACGGGGAGAGGAACUUUCCUGAAGCGGGCUGAGGGGAACGGCCUUGUUCAUCCAUCCAAGCUUAAGAUCUGGCUUGCCCACUGAAUAAAUCAGAUGUGAAACGUUUCUAGUUUUUCUGGCUCCCCCACACAAUAAAGUCAGCAGAUGUGAAACAUAUUUAUGUUUUUAUUUAGGAACAAUCAAAAGAUCUGAAGUACCAUUUCGGCCCAUAUCAAAUUGUAUACGCAGUUUGUCCCUGCUCCCUCCCUUCUCCAAAUCCACAGAUACAAAAUCUAGGAAAUGUGCAAUUUGCAUCUUAGAAAUAGCAGCAUCCCCACAGGGGACCUCGUGAGGCCUGGAGGCAGCCCAGAGAGGACAGCCCACCCCCACCUCAGCAUAGCCACUGUCCGAAGGCGAGUUACGGCUUUCUGUUAAAAACACGUACUCUGGAUAAAGAACUCCCAUUCCACCCAGGCCUGACCGACAGAGUGUGCCCCCUUGGUUUGGUCUCACCCUGGCCACCGCAGUCAGGGGACCCUCUUGUAUAGUUUGGUGAAGUUGCAGAUUGCCUCUGGGCAAACAGGGCAGUUGUCUCUUAGCACCAAGGUGACCACGUCUUUCAGCCAUCUCUCUGGGAGGCGCACUAAAGCUGACUGCACCCCAGCCAUUCCCAGGGCCUCCGGUCACUCCGAAGACCAGAAGGUAAAUGGAUGGUAGAAAACCAGGAAUCAGCACUCUCAGGCAGGACCCCGCAGCUCUGGCAACCUCCCUGACUUCCACAAAGACUGUGCUCAGUUAACUUUCAAUGGACGAUGGCCAGCAGGGGAGAGGGGAAGGUUGGUUGGCGUUUUCUUCGUAAUAACGAUUAUGGCACAGUCGGGUUUUCCCGACACAGCUAAAUGGCGCGGCAGCGCGGGAACGCCUCUGCACGGGCCACCCCUUCUCCCCUGGCCCGAGGACCACGCUGGGUCCGUACUGAGGGCGGCCUGGCUCCCCCUCCAGCCAGCUCCACACAGCCUGGGACUCCUGCCCCACCAGCAUUUCAAGCAAACUGCAAGAAUGAGGUCACUGUGUGGGGGUAGGAACCAAGGAUGAGUGACCAUCUCUCUCUUUAAACACAAAUGACAGAACAGCUACCACGUGAGUAGAUUGUUACCCUCCACCAGUGUAUCUACUCUGGGGUUUGACUCCUGGGAAAGACGCACUUGUAGCUUUCUAUAUUCAGGGACUCCAAACAGUCUUUACCCUGGACAAUUUACCUUCGGCUCCAGCCGAAUGCUUCUUCCAAAUACUCCUAAGUCACCCACUUAUAGUGGAAAGGAACAAGAGUUAUAAAAGCAUUAGCCAGGAAAAGCUAUUCAUCGACAUUCAAGUGCUCAGGGGUACGCACGUGCACAUAGAGGAGGGCCACGCUCCAGAAGAAGAGGCACUAACGGCAGGUGGAUGCUCAGACCCCUCUCCAGUACCCUGGCUUGCCACCUGCCCCCAGCAGACAGCAGAAGAGAAGGCAGCUACCCCUGCCCCCGCCAGAAGGGCCCUGCUCGCUGUGCAGACCCUCCUUCUGGCUCCAGCCUGAGCAGCCACAAGGGCCAGGCGCUGAGGGCUGCUAAAGCCUUGGGGCUGGUGACAGCAGAGCAGUAGCCAUAUGCUCUUUGUGGAUCCUGGCGGUCCUGCAAACCAAGGAGAGCGUUUUUAAAAGUCAAGGCAGCAGGUGCUUGCUCCCACCCUUGUCCAUGGGGUGACCAGUGCCUGCCUAGGCCGUGCCGGGCAUCAGGUUUCUGCCCCUGCUCUGGACUUUGGCAGGUAGAAUCGUUGCUUCCCGCUGGAUCCGGGCUGUCCGAUCUCCAGUCUGGUGAAGACAGGCCAGGUUAGUGGCCAGUCUUCACAAGUGCGCUCAGGACUGAAGAACAGAAAAGCAGACCCUGGAUCACCCCCCGGGCCAAAUGCCCUGAGCCCUUUACUUUACACCCCCCACAUACAGAUGCUGGGUGGCUCAGUGAACUGCCUUCCUGGGACGACCGGUGCCAAGGUACACAACACAGGCCUCGCCAUUCCAUGUGGGACUUAGAGCUUGCCUGGGUGGCACUCAUGAUCGUCACCUCUACCCAGGCACUUGGCCCAAAUCAAAACCCGUCACUUUGUUGAGACGUUGCCUAGUUUUCUCAGCCCUGGUGUUGCACAGCCUGGCUGUUCUAAGUGGCCAGAGAAACAGCACGAUGGUUACCUCAGAUUGAAGCCGGGCUUGGGGAGGGGUCCAUUCAAAAGAAAGCUCGGCUCCCCACUGCCUGCUUUCUCAGGUGCCAGACAGUCCCCAAGCCACACGGAGAUGCGCCCCAAGGUCUGGGCAGGAAGAAGGCUAGGCGAGCCUGUGCUCCUCAGCAAAGCAGUGGAGUCAGGAGACCUGGAGACGGCCCCGGGCAGUAGUGAGGAGAGCCAAGCCCUGUUUGCCUCCUGCCCCAGGAAGCUGCUGGCUCUGGCCUGGAAGUAGCUGUGUGGACCCUAGCACAUCUACAGGAUUUUUCUUCUCCGGCUUACAACUGAGCCUUCCACAUUGAUAAGAUAAAGGAAAAUGUAAACUUAAUACAAAAGGUGGGUCAAAUCAAUAACCUGCCCUGAGUAAACUCUGAGCAAGGAAAAGGGGGGAAAAUUAGAAAAAACCCAAAUUUCAGGUUUGGUUUGGCUGGUUCUCUUCUACAAAGUGCCUUUAUCCACGUGGACUGUGGCAUUUAAACUGACAAAGCUGCUCAAACCCAAGGAUCUCGGUACAAGAAGAGAACAGGCAGACACAAGGCAACAGGGCCGAGAGCGGGCAGCACAGGCAGGCUGCCGAGGAGGGUGUGUGGACAAGGCGAGCACCCAGCCAGAAAGGCCAACGCCCACCCUCCAUGGAAGGCGGCCCGGCACAGAUGUCCCAGAGCCAGAGGGGAGAGGGAGGUAACACAGGACCUGUGCAGGAUAAGAGCCACAACUCAGCCUGGAAAACCUGCAGAAACUUCCCGGUGGGUCAGCCUCCCAUGGCCAGCUUGGACGGCACCGUCAGUACAGCACCCUGCCCAGCUCCCGCACCUGUCCUUCCGGAAAGCAGGCCUUCAGGUCCUGGUGCUUUGGUCACCCACGCAGCUUGGCCAAGCCAGGAGCUCUAAGUCACGUGAUGCUACCAAACCCCAAACACCAACAGGCCAUCCAACACUCUGGAACCCUCGACUCCCGAAAAUGGGAACGCUCCUCUCAAAUCAAAAAGCUCUUUAAUAGUCAAGAAUUCAAAUAAGUAAUCAAAAUAUGCAAAGUAGGGGCGCCUGGGUGGCUCAGUUGGUUAAGCAUCCAACUUUGGCUCAGGUCAUGAUCUGGCAGUUCGUGGGUUUGAGCCCCGUGUUGGGCUCUGUGCUGGCAGCUCAGAGCCUGGAGCCUGCUUCGGAUUCUGUCUCUCUGUCUCUCUCUCUCUCUCUCUCUGCCUCUGUCCCAAUUUGCGCUCUGUUUCUCUCUCUCAAAAAACAUUAAAAAAAUUUUUUUUAAUAUGCAAAGUGUAUGUAUCAUAAAUUCAGAUUUCUCUGAUCAGAAUGAUGAUCUAGUUUCACCCAUUAGAACUGGAUCUACAACUCCAUGUAAAAGUAUUAAUAAACCAAACGUGCAAGACAGGCAACAAGAAACACCAAAGAUUUUACUACCGUGACAAGUCCAAGUGCGUCGGGAGAAGAGGGGAACGACCACUUUAGGAAACCCCGUCCCACCUCUCUCAGCUCUACAGCCCACAGACUGCCUUCUUAAUGGAGGCGACGUCACAGACACCCUCCGGCGGUG
This 4473-nucleotide long non-coding RNA is filed under the name Lynx pardinus (Iberian lynx). The record is from RNAcentral. Lineage: Eukaryota; Metazoa; Chordata; Mammalia; Carnivora; Felidae.